Molecule: ribosomal RNA, 253 nt
Filed under: uncultured bacterium
Lineage: Bacteria
Description: partial 16S ribosomal RNA
Rfam family: Bacterial small subunit ribosomal RNA
Source: RNAcentral
UACAGAGGUCUCAAGCGUUGUUCGGAUUCAUUGGGCGUAAAGGGUGCGUAGGCGGCGCGGUAAGUCGGGUGUGAAAUCUUGGAGCUUAACUCCGAAACUGCAUUCGAUACUGCCGUGCUUGAAGACUGGAGAGGAGACUGGAAUUUACGGUGUAGCGGUGAAAUGCGUAGAUAUCGUAAGGAAGACCAGUGGCGAAGGCGGGUCUCUGGACAGUUCCUGACGCUGAGGCACGAAGGCCAGGGGAGCAAACGGG